This 76-nucleotide transfer RNA is filed under the name Acinetobacter sp. RIT592. RNAcentral's name for it is "tRNA-Glu". It matches the Rfam family "tRNA". From Rfam's summary of the family: Transfer RNA (tRNA) molecules are approximately 80 nucleotides in length. Their secondary structure includes four short double-helical elements and three loops (D, anti-codon, and T loops). Lineage: Bacteria; Pseudomonadati; Pseudomonadota; Gammaproteobacteria; Moraxellales; Moraxellaceae. The record is from RNAcentral.
GAGGAGAUAGUUUAAAUUGGUAAAAUAAACACCUUUCAUGUGUAAGUUGUGGGUUCGAGUCCUGCAAUCCUCACCA